This 74-nucleotide transfer RNA is filed under the name Trichoderma harzianum. Its description in RNAcentral is "tRNA-Asn". Lineage: Eukaryota; Fungi; Ascomycota; Sordariomycetes; Hypocreales; Hypocreaceae. The record is from RNAcentral.
CUCCUCCGGGAAGGCUUGAACUUCCAACCUCCUGAUUAACAGUCAGACGCGCUAGCCAAUUGCGCCACAGAGGA